Molecule: long non-coding RNA, 2000 nt
Organism: Helianthus annuus (common sunflower)
Lineage: Eukaryota; Viridiplantae; Streptophyta; Magnoliopsida; Asterales; Asteraceae
Exons: 5
Source: RefSeq, a predicted model, not a curated record
CAUCCUUUUCACCCUGCAGUACACACGCCCCCAUCCCCAUCUUUCCCUUUCCUCUUCACUCAAAUCUCAUUUCAAAUUUCAAACUCAUUUUUCUCUUUCUUCAUUCUCCUUCUCAAAGGGUUUCUGAAUCUGGAUCUGCUCUCUUCCCAAUUCACACACCUCCUCCAUGAAAGUGUCGAAGAUCAAUUGGAAGAUGAUGAUUUCCAAAGUAAUUGGCAAAUGAAGUAUCUAACCCCGUUUAAUUUUUGGUCGCAACUCACCUGAACCGUCAUGGAAGUUACGUGAUGUGGAAAAUCCGUCUUCAAAAAACAUAAAAAAAUCGAGAGAUUAGGAUGUAGAGAGGUACAAUAGAGACCGUGAAGAUCAGAUUAAGAUUGAUAGAAGCCGAUUUGGGUUUUAUGUUCUAUAAAAGCCAAUUCAGAAGCCACGACAAUUUCUCUUCUUCAACGUAAUUGUCGCCCAAUUAUUUCUCGGAUCUUCUGGUAUUUACAAAGCAGAGUUGGCUAGAUCGUCUGCUUCAACAUCAACUGUUCCGAGAGUGGAUUUUAUGGAUAAAAGGCAAGAAUGUUUUCUGAUCAAAAUGUAGGAAAAUUGUUGAAGAAGAAAACAUGUGUGAGGUAGGUUGGUUGGAUUCUAACGAUGAGGUAGCUAAAUCUCGGGAAAAGUUUGAUUUUGUUAAGAAGAGGUUUCUUAAGAAUCAACAUUUUGGAAGCUUUGGAGAGAAUGCCUAAAACGAAUCCCAAAGGUAUACGCAUUCAUUUGUAUAUUAGUUUGAGUUGGUAUAGACUUUUACAAGCUUUUAAAUGUGAUUUGCAUUUUUUGUGAAGUUCGGGUAUAUACAUUAAUAAGAACCUUAGAUUAGACAACAUACAAGUUUAUGGUUUUAACUAUGACUAUCUAUACUUUACUUUGGCGCAUUACUUUCCUAGAUUACAAAACUUGAUCUAUGAGGGAACUAGGCUUGUAUUUGGCAGUUUCCCUUUUUCACUUGGUAUUUGAGCGACAAUCAUGCGAUGACUAAGAAAGAGUUGAAUUAGUAAAGGAUACGAAGAGGCGUUAUGGACGGGUUUUUCAAUCGGGGUUGUCUUACAAAAAGAACUACCAUUCUACCGGAUAGUGUCAUUCCGUUCAAUUGGUGUUACCAUUCUACCAAUCUGUCUCACAAACUCAAGUCAUAGCUUCCAAUUGAAAUCGAUUCACGAUUCAAGCAGGUUUCUUUUCAAGAUAGGAGGACCGGGGGCUAAUUCCUAGCUUGAUACCUACAACAUUUAUUUUAGAUUGGAUGAUCGAUUCAAUCAUAACAAUAGCUCUGUUUCCAAUAACCAAUUGGUCAUGGGCCUUGGUGGAAAUUAGACAAGAAGGAAAAUAGGUGGAAAUAAGACACGAGGGAAAAUGAUGAUAUCUAUCUUUUAUUCUACUUGCUGGAUUUUGUGGAGAGCACGUAAAGAUGUUUACAAGGAGAUAUUACGAGAUUUAUGAAUUUUUUUGUAUAUUUUUUGAGUUUUAAUAUAUAUUAACUUUUUGUAUAUCUUUUUAAUAUAUAUGUGGGUCGCGCGCGAACCCAUGCAAAGUAACUACAACAUGGUUUGGAUUUAGACGUAUAUGGAAAGGAAACAACCGAGUAACUACUACAUGGUUUGGAUUCAAUAUCACAUUCCAGACACAACAUCCCAAAUACUUGAUAGUGAUGGAUGAAAGUUUGCAUUACACAAGAUUGAUGGUAUGUUUGCAUUGUAAAGUCAAGUAUGAUGGUUGAAAAAGUCAACCAGUCCUAUAUAUUAUUUAUGCAUCUAUGAAUAACACUAUUGGAGGAACACUUGGUUAAACAUUUCCAAAGAUAUUAGGAGGCAGAAAUGCUUAGGCGGCCAAUUGGUAGUAUUGUAUUGUAUUUUUGGACCAUUGAAAUUUCAACUUCCUUCAUUGCAUAUGUUAAGCAAGAAGUUGGGGUUCAGUUUUUUAAGAUUCUUUUGAUGAUCAUGUUAACGAAUAUGAUCAACUUU